This is a long non-coding RNA of Vitis vinifera (wine grape), 1114 nucleotides long. RefSeq lists it as uncharacterized. The transcript is spliced from 3 exons. NCBI's taxonomy places the organism in Eukaryota, Viridiplantae, Streptophyta, Magnoliopsida, Vitales, Vitaceae. The record is from RefSeq and is a predicted model, not a curated record.
CAUACCAUUAGGAACCAAAAUAAACAAAAAUUAAAAAAAUAAACAACUUGCUUACCUCAAAUCUACAAUUUCUCUCUCUAGAUCCUCUCUCUAACCCAAGUUGCUGUAGGUGAACUGGUGCAAAACGAGCUGUAGCCCCUUCUAAAGGGGUCUCUAAGUAGCCAAGCACGAGGUGGCUUGUAGGAGUUGGCAUUCCACAAACUCCAAUUUCCCAAUUUUGCACUUUAGUCCUUCAAGUUAUCAAAAAUAAAACCCAUAAUUGCCAAUUAGUCCUUUAGGUUUUCAUAACCCUAAUCAGCCCCUAAGAACCUAAUAAGCAUGCUUAAGUCAUUAACCAAUCCCACUUAACCUUAAUCAAAGUUUAAUUCAUAAUUAAACAAGAUUAGCACUAAACUAGUUUUAACAUCUAAUUAAUCAUGCUUAAAGUUAUGUACUAAGAUAAUCACUAUUGCCUGUUUAAUUCAUUGGUACUAGUUGUUACAACUUUAGACAAGGGAAGCCUGGACAGAAGCUAGAGCAAGGACAACAAGGGAGAUUUUAUGCAUUGGGGUCACAAAAUGCAAAGUCAAAUGCCUUAGUGGAAGUUCCUAUAGGCAAAGAUUGCCUACUUAGAAGAAACACAAAAAGGAAGUUGGUGUAAGGAGAAUCAACAAGCAUUCAAGGAUCCAUUGCAUGUUCCAGUUGGGCCUAUUACUAAAGCAAGAUCUAAGAAGAUCAAAGAAGCACUUAAUGGGCUAAUUCAAGAGAUUUGGGCUGAUUCUAACGCGGGACAUCCCAAGUUUGGCCCAAAGGAAGAUGAAGGUGUAAUAAAUUUAAUCCAAUAUAUUGAGGGUUAAUUUGGCUUGAUUGGGUGUGAUUUAUGACAUGGAUUAAUGACUGAUUGACUUUUUAGCUUCAUAUAAAUUAUUUCCUAUUCUAGAGCUUCUAAAUUCAGGCCAAAUCUACCUUAAUUUUAGGCUUUUAUUAUUUAUAAUGUUUUUUAGCUAUUUUCCUAUUUUGGAUCUGCUAAUUUCAGACCAAAUCAACCUUUAUUUAGGAUUUUAAUAUUUAGUACCUUUUUUAGUUUAGGGUUUUAAUAUUUAGUAAGUUUUUUUCAUGACAUAUAAAUAGCACG